AGUUGCCAGCACUCACGAAUUACAUUUACAAAAAUAUACACAUAAUCAAGGCAUAUAGAAGUCACUGAUUGACUCAUUUUGAUUGGACAACAAAUCGGUAGCCAGGGACGGCGGCCGUCUCUGAGACUUGCUGCUUAACAAGGCAAAGAUAUACAACUACACAGGCGUACAAUCAAAUACAGUAGAAAACUAGACUGAACUAAAAGGGCUGGAGCCUACAGGCCACCUAUGAGGGCGUGGGCUGACAGAAAAGGCGUGUUUUGAAUCAUUUUUAUCUCUUUGGAAGCAGUAAUAUUAACUCUAUUUCUUAUUCACGGCUCCUUUAUAAGAGCCCUAUCAGACGAUGAUAAACCCCGCUAUUACCGGGAAGCAGCUGUCCGUAUGCUACCAACUGCUCCCACCAGGCCGGCACCGAAAAAGAAGAUGAAAUAAAAAACUAAAAUCUGUUUUCAUUAAAAAUGGAACCAUUCAUCCAUGGACUUUAAGGCAGCGUGAGGGUUAGCCAGCGGUCUGCGCUGUACAUUACAUACGUUUACAUGUCCUAGUAGUAACUCAUAGAGUCCAUGGUUUAACUCUACUCCAACCCGCGGUCCGGAGUGUCUUUAAAGAUCCGUCCCUGUUGUGUGUGUGUGUGUGUGUGUGUGUGUGUGUGUGUGUGUGUGUCAUUGAGAAAGUGUCUAGUACGGGCACGUGGGUUCCAGUGGGUUGGAAACCCUGCAUUAAGAAGAAGUAACCUUCCGGUCAACUGCAACUCCCCAGCAGUGCCCCUAGCUCUUCCCUUGCU
This is a long non-coding RNA of Gadus macrocephalus (Pacific cod), 784 nucleotides long. RefSeq lists it as uncharacterized. The transcript has 2 exons. The record is from RefSeq and is a predicted model, not a curated record. NCBI's taxonomy places the organism in Eukaryota, Metazoa, Chordata, Actinopteri, Gadiformes, Gadidae.